AUUGAACGCUGGCGGCAGGCCUAACACAUGCAAGUCGAGCGGAUGAAGGGAGCUUGCUCCUGGAUUCAGCGGCGGACGGGUGAGUAAUGCCUAGGAAUCUGCCUGGUAGUGGGGGAUAACGUCCGGAAACGGGCGCUAAUACCGCAUACGUCCUGAGGGUGAAAGUGGGGGAUCUUCGGACCUCACGCUAUCAGCUGAGCCUAGGUCGGAUUAGCUAGUUGGUGGGGUAAAGGCCUACCAAGGCGACGAUCCGUAACUGGUCUGAGAGGAUGAUCAGUCACACUGGAACUGAGACACGGUCCAGACUCCUACGGGAGGCAGCAGUGGGGAAUAUUGGACAAUGGGCGAAAGCCUGAUCCAGCCAUGCCGCGUGUGUGAAGAAGGUCUUCGGAUUGUAAAGCACUUUAAGUUGGGAGGAAGGGCAGUAAGUUAAUACCUGGCUGUUUUGACGUUACCAACAGAAUAAGCACCGGCUAACUUCGUG
RNAcentral lists this ribosomal RNA (484 nucleotides) under uncultured bacterium. RNAcentral's name for it is "partial 16S ribosomal RNA". It matches the Rfam family "Bacterial small subunit ribosomal RNA", at positions 30 to 507 of the family's 1533-position model. The record is from RNAcentral.